This 76-nucleotide ribosomal RNA is filed under the name Glaucoma chattoni. RNAcentral describes it as "partial 5.8S ribosomal RNA". Lineage: Eukaryota; Ciliophora; Oligohymenophorea; Hymenostomatida; Glaucomidae. The record is from RNAcentral.
AUGCGAAUUGCAGAAUCCGCGAGUCAUCAGAUCUUUGAACGCAAGUGGUGGAGGUGUAAAAACCUUCAUGUUUGUU